Molecule: ribosomal RNA, 450 nt
Filed under: uncultured bacterium
Lineage: Bacteria
Description: partial 16S ribosomal RNA
Rfam family: Bacterial small subunit ribosomal RNA
Source: RNAcentral
GCGGGGAAUAUUGGACAAUGGGCGAAAGCCUGAUCCAGCCAUGCCGCGUGUGUGAAGAAGGUCUUCGGAUUGUAAAGCACUUUAAGUUGGGAGGAAGGGCAGUAAGUUAAUACCUUGCUGUUUUGACGUUACCGACAGAAUAAGCACCGGCUAACUUCGUGCCAGCAGCCGCGGUAAUACGAAGGGUGCAAGCGUUAAUCGGAAUUACUGGGCGUAAAGCGCGCGUAGGUGGUUUUGUAAGUUGGAGGUGAAAUCCCCGGGCUCAACCUGGGAACUGCCUCCAAAACUGCAUGACUAGAGUACGGUAGAGGGUAGUGGAAUUUCCUGUGUAGCGGUGAAAUGCGUAGAUAUAGGAAGGAACACCAGUGGCGAAGGCGACUACCUGGACUGAUACUGACACUGAGGUGCGAAAGCGUGGGGAGCAAACAGGAUUAGAAACCCCUGUAGUCC